RNAcentral lists this ribosomal RNA (443 nucleotides) under uncultured bacterium. Its description in RNAcentral is "partial 16S ribosomal RNA". It matches the Rfam family "Bacterial small subunit ribosomal RNA", at positions 338 to 795 of the family's 1533-position model. The record is from RNAcentral.
CCUACGGGUGGCAGCAGUGGGGAAUAUUGGGCAAUGGAGGCAACUCUGACCCAGCAACGCCGCGUGAAUGAUGAAGGUCUUCGGAUUGUAAAGUUCUUUUCUAAGGGAAGAAGAAAGUGACGGUACCUUAGGAAUAAGCCUCGGCUAACUACGUGCCAGCAGCCGCGGUAAUACGUAGGAGGCAAGCGUUAUCCGGAAUGACUGGGCGUAAAGGGUGCGUAGGUGGUUUGACAAGUUAGUAGCGCAACUCCGGAGCUAAACGUCGGAACUACUACUAAAACUGUUUGGCUUGAGUGCAGUGGGGGCAGUCGGAAUGCCUAGUGUAGCGGUGGAAUGCGUAGAUAUUAGGCGGAACACCGGUGGCGAAGGCAGAUUGCUAGACUGUAACUGACACUGAGGCACGAAAGCGUGGGGAGCAAACAGGAUUAGAUACCCGAGUAGUC